GUUCAUACCAAGCAAGUGUUUUACUCAAUCACUCAAGUGUUUAAGGUGACACUCCAACUUUCUAUUGUUCACAAGUCAUAUGAAACAAAAUUGUCAUUCAUCUCAAAUAAUCAACAUCUUUACAUGUAAAUGUCAUGAAAAGGACUUUUCAAGGCUUGUAAUGAGGUUGGGUUAACAAGAAAAAUUGGUUUUUCUAGAAUGCAAAAUCCUUGAGUCAAGAGAACUAUCAAAAUAUUCCACAAUUAAGCACAACUCUCUCACCAAAAUUUCUCAUUCCCAACUUCUUCCCUUUUCUUUUCUUUUUCAUUGAGCUCGUCUUCAUGCUUUUCUUCUUUUCUUUUCUUUUUCUCAUGAAUUUUUCUCUUUUCACAACAAUUGAGCUCAAUGCCUUUUACUUGCUUUUUCAAUUUUCCCCNNUANNACCCCAAANUUGAACCUUUUCAUCACAUACAAUUAAGCUCAUCCCAACUCAAGGUAAAGAACUUCAAAACA
Molecule: long non-coding RNA, 492 nt
Filed under: Vigna radiata
Lineage: Eukaryota; Viridiplantae; Streptophyta; Magnoliopsida; Fabales; Fabaceae
Description: long non-coding RNA (VRAD_LNC011365)
Source: RNAcentral